UACAGAGGUCUCAAGCGUUGUUCGGAUUCAUUGGGCGUAAAGCGCGUGUAGGCGGUUGUCCAAGUUGGAUGUGAAAGCCUUGAGCUUAACUCAAGAAAUGCAUUCAGGACUGGAUGACUAGAGGACCGGAGAGGAUAGUGGAAUUCCCAGUGUAGUGGUGAAAUACGUAGAGAUUGGGAAGAACACCAGUGGCGAAGGCGGCUAUCUGGACGGUUUCUGACGCUAAGACGCGAAAGCGUGGGGAGCAAACAGG
Molecule: ribosomal RNA, 253 nt
Filed under: uncultured bacterium
Lineage: Bacteria
Description: partial 16S ribosomal RNA
Rfam family: Bacterial small subunit ribosomal RNA
Source: RNAcentral